GACGAACGCUGGCGGCGUGCUUAACACAUGCAAGUCGAACGGAAAGGCCCCUUUGGGGGUACUCGAGUGGCGAACGGGUGAGUAACACGUGAGUAACCUGCCCUUGACUUCGGGAUAACUUCAGGAAACUGGGGCUAAUACCGGAUAGGAAUCCUUGCUGCAUGGUGGGGGUUGGAAAGCUUCGGCGGUUUUGGAUGGACUCGCGGCUUAUCAGCUUGUUGGUGGGGUAGUGGCUUACCAAGGCUUUGACGGGUAGCCGGCCUGAGAGGGCGACCGGCCACAUUGGGACUGGGAUACGGCCCAGACUCCGACGGGAGGGAGCAGUGGGGAAUAUUGAACAAUGGGCGGAAGCCAGAUGCAGAAACGCCGCGGGCGGGAUGACGGCCUUCGGGUUGUAAACCGCUUUCAGCAGGGGCGAAGCUUGUGGUGACGGUACCUGCAGAAGAAGCACCGGCUAACUACGUG
RNAcentral lists this ribosomal RNA (465 nucleotides) under uncultured bacterium. RNAcentral describes it as "partial 16S ribosomal RNA". It matches the Rfam family "Bacterial small subunit ribosomal RNA", at positions 28 to 507 of the family's 1533-position model. The record is from RNAcentral.